Molecule: ribosomal RNA, 527 nt
Filed under: uncultured bacterium
Lineage: Bacteria
Description: bacterial SSU rRNA
Rfam family: Bacterial small subunit ribosomal RNA
Source: RNAcentral
AGAGUUUGAUCAUGGCUCAGAUUGAACGCUGGCGGCAGGCCUUAUACAUGCAAGUCGAACGGAAACGAUGCUAGCUUGCUAGCAGGCGUCGAGUGGCGGACGGGUGAGUAACGCGUGGGAAUUUGCCUAUUAGUGGGGGAUAAGCUGGGGAAACCCAGUCUAAUACCGCAUACGCUCUACGGAGGAAAGGGGCCCUAUCCUUGGAAGGUCUCGCUGAUAGAUGAGCCCGCGUCGGAUUAGCUUGUUGGUGAGGUAAAGGCUCACCAAGGCGACGAUCCGUAGCUGGUCUGAGAGGAUGAUCAGCCACACUGGGACUGAGACACGGCCCAGACUCCUACGGGAGGCAGCAGUAGGGAAUAUUGGACAAUGGGGGAAACCCUGAUCCAGCCAUGCCGCGUGUGUGAAGAAGGCCCUAGGGUUGUAAAGCACUUUCAGCGGGGAGGAAACGCCAUAGGUUAAUACCCUGUGGCUAUGACGUUACCCGCAGAAGAAGCACCGGCUAAUUUCGUGCCAGCAGCCGCGGUAAU